GAUGAACGCUAGCGGCAGGCUUAAUACAUGCAAGUCGUGGGGCAGCAUGGUGUAGCAAUACACUGAUGGCGACCGGCAAACGGGUGCGGAACACGUACGCAACCUACCCAUAACUGAGGAAUAGCCCGGGGAAACCCGGAUUAAUACCUCGUAACAUAAUUGAAUGGCAUCAUUUAAUUAUUAUAGCUCCGGCGGUUUUGGAUGGGCGUGCGACUGAUUAGGUAGUUGGCGGGGUAACGGCCCACCAAGCCUACGAUCAGUAACUGGUGUGAGAGCACGACCAGUCACACGGGCACUGAGACACGGGCCCGACUCCUACGGGAGGCAGCAGUAAGGAAUAUUGGUCAAUGGACGCAAGUCUGAACCAGCCAUGCCGCGUGAAGGAUGAAGGUCCUCUGG
RNAcentral lists this ribosomal RNA (399 nucleotides) under uncultured bacterium. RNAcentral describes it as "bacterial SSU rRNA". It matches the Rfam family "Bacterial small subunit ribosomal RNA", at positions 28 to 422 of the family's 1533-position model. The record is from RNAcentral.